GCGGAUAUGGCGUAAUUGGUAGCCGCGCUAGACUUAGGAUCUAGUGCCGAAAGGCGUGGGGGUUCGAGUCCCUCUAUCCGCACUA
This 85-nucleotide transfer RNA is filed under the name Bacteroidales bacterium. Its description in RNAcentral is "tRNA-Leu". It matches the Rfam family "tRNA". Rfam says of the family: Transfer RNA (tRNA) molecules are approximately 80 nucleotides in length. Their secondary structure includes four short double-helical elements and three loops (D, anti-codon, and T loops). Lineage: Bacteria; Pseudomonadati; Bacteroidota; Bacteroidia; Bacteroidales. The record is from RNAcentral.